This 70-nucleotide transfer RNA is filed under the name Streptomyces albogriseolus. RNAcentral describes it as "tRNA-Thr". RNAcentral also lists the same sequence under 1 other name. The record is from RNAcentral. Lineage: Bacteria; Bacillati; Actinomycetota; Actinomycetes; Kitasatosporales; Streptomycetaceae.
GGCGGGCGUGGGGCAGCCUUCGGCCGCUAGUUGCCGCUCCUCAGCGCCCGUUCGAUGCGGGCGUUCGCCG